AGAGUUUCAUUCUGGCUCAGGAUGAUCGCUGGCGGCGUGCCUAAUACAUGCAAGUCGAACGCACAGCGAAAGGUGCUUGCACCUUUCAAGUGAGUGGCGAACGGGUGAGUAACACGUGGAUAACCUACCUCAAGGUUGGGGAUAACAUUUGGAAACAGAUGCUAAUACCGAAUAAAACUUCGUAUCGCAUGAUACAAGGUUAAAAGGCGCUACGGCGUCACCUAGAGAUGGAUCCGCGGUGCAUUAGUUAGUUGGUGGGGUAAAGGCCUACCAAGACAAUGAUGCAUAGCCGAGUUGAGAGACUGAUCGGCCACAUUGGGACUGAGACACGGCCCAAACUCCUACGGGAGGCUGCAGUAGGGAAUCUUCCACAAUGGGCGAAAGCCUGAUGGAGCAACGCCGCGUGUGUGAUGAAGGCUUUCGGGUCGUAAAGCACUGUUGUAUGGGAAGAACAGCUAGAGUAGGGAAUGACUUUAGUUUGACGGUACCAUACCAGAAAGGGACGGCUAAAUACGUGCCAGCAGCCGCGGUAAUACGUAUGUCCCGAGCGUUAUCCGGAUUUAUUGGGCGUAAAGCGAGCGCAGACGGUUGAUUAAGUCUGAUGUGAAAGCCCGGAGCUCAACUCCGGAAAGGCAUUGGAAACUGGUCAACUUGAGUGCAGUAGAGGUAAGUGGAACUCCAUGUGUAGCGGUGGAAUGCGUAGAUAUAUGGAAGAACACCAGCGGCGAAGGCGGCUUACUGGACUGUAACUGACGUUGAGGCUCGAAAGUGUGGGUAGCAAUACAGGAUUAGAUACCCUGGUAGUCCACACCGUAAACGAUGA
Molecule: ribosomal RNA, 823 nt
Filed under: uncultured bacterium
Lineage: Bacteria
Description: bacterial SSU rRNA
Rfam family: Bacterial small subunit ribosomal RNA
Source: RNAcentral